RNAcentral lists this ribosomal RNA (253 nucleotides) under uncultured Terrimonas sp. Its description in RNAcentral is "partial 16S ribosomal RNA". It matches the Rfam family "Bacterial small subunit ribosomal RNA", at positions 524 to 776 of the family's 1533-position model. The record is from RNAcentral. Lineage: Bacteria; Pseudomonadati; Bacteroidota; Chitinophagia; Chitinophagales; Chitinophagaceae.
UACGGAGGGUGCAAGCGUUAUCCGGAUUCACUGGGUUUAAAGGGUGCGUAGGUGGGUUGGUAAGUCAGUGGUGAAAUCCCCGAGCUUAACUCGGGAACUGCCAUUGAUACUAUCAGUCUUGAAUACCGUGGAGGUCAGCGGAAUAUGUCAUGUAGCGGUGAAAUGCUUAGAUAUGACAUAGAACACCAAUUGCGAAGGCAGCUGGCUACCCGAAUAUUGACACUGAGGCACGAAAGCGUGGGGAUCAAACAGG